UCCCUGGUGGCUCAGAGGUUACAGUGUCUGCCUGGAAUGCAGGAGACCUGGUUCGAUCCCUGGAUCGGGAA
RNAcentral lists this transfer RNA (71 nucleotides) under Bos taurus (domestic cattle). It matches the Rfam family "tRNA". From Rfam's summary of the family: Transfer RNA (tRNA) molecules are approximately 80 nucleotides in length. The record is from Rfam by way of RNAcentral. RNAcentral also lists the same sequence under 1 other name. Lineage: Eukaryota; Metazoa; Chordata; Mammalia; Artiodactyla; Bovidae.